This 253-nucleotide ribosomal RNA is filed under the name uncultured bacterium. RNAcentral describes it as "partial 16S ribosomal RNA". It matches the Rfam family "Bacterial small subunit ribosomal RNA", at positions 524 to 776 of the family's 1533-position model. The record is from RNAcentral.
UACGUAGGUGGCAAGCGUUGUCCGGAAUUAUUGGGCGUAAAGGGCUCGCAGGCUGUUCCUUAAGUCUGAUGUGAAAUCUUGCGGCUUAACCGUAAGCGGUCAUUGGAAACUGGGGGACUUGAGUGCAGAAGAGGAGAGUGGAAUUCCACGUGUAGCGGUGAAAUGCGUAGAGAUGUGGAGGAACACCAGUGGCGAAGGCGGCUCUCUGGUCUGUAACUGACGCUGAGGAGCGAAAGCGUGGGGAGCAAACAGG